RNAcentral lists this ribosomal RNA (465 nucleotides) under uncultured bacterium. RNAcentral's name for it is "partial 16S ribosomal RNA". It matches the Rfam family "Bacterial small subunit ribosomal RNA", at positions 28 to 507 of the family's 1533-position model. The record is from RNAcentral.
GACGAACGCUGGCGGCGUGCUUAACACAUGCAAGUCGAACGGAAAGGCCCUGCUUGCCGGGUACUCGAGUGGCGAACGGGUGAGUAACACGUGGGUGAUCUGCCCUGCACUUCGGGAUAAGCCUGGGCAACUGGGUCUAAUACCGGAUAGGAGCCAUUUUUAGUGUGAUGGUUGGAAAGUUUUUUCGGUGUAGGAUGAGCUUGCGGCCUAUCAGCUUGUUGGUGGGGUAAUGGCCUACCAAGGCGGCGAAGUGUAGCCGGCCUGUGAGGGUGGACGGCCACAUUGGGACUGAGAUACGGCCCAGACUCCGACGGGUGGCAGCAGUGGGGAAGCUUGAACGAUGGGCGCAAGCCGGAUGCUGCGACGCCGCGGGGGGGAUGACGGUCUUCGGGUUGUAAACUCCUUUUGCUAGGGACGAAGCUUUUUGUGACGGUACCUAGAUAAGAAGCACCGGCUAACUACGUG